AGGAAGGUUUUUGGAUCGUAAACCCCUUUUGUCAAGGAAGAAGCUCUGACGGUACUUGACGAAUAAGCCUCGGCUAACUCCGUGCCAGCAGCCGCGGUAAUACGGAGGAGGCAAGCGUUAUCCGGAAUGAUUGGGCGUAAAGCGUCUGUAGGUGGCCAGCUAAGUCUGCUGUUAAAGAUCACAGCUCAACUGUGGGAAGGCAGUGGAAACUGGCAAGCUAGAGGUUGGUAGGGGUAAAGGGAAUUCCCGGUGUAGCGGUGAAAUGCGUAGAUAUCGGGAAGAACACCGGUGGCGAAAGCGCUUUACUGGGCCAGACCUGACACUGAAGGACGAAAGCUAGGGGAGCGAAAGGGAUUAGAUACCCCUGUAGUC
This 372-nucleotide ribosomal RNA is filed under the name uncultured cyanobacterium. RNAcentral's name for it is "bacterial SSU rRNA". It matches the Rfam family "Bacterial small subunit ribosomal RNA", at positions 408 to 795 of the family's 1533-position model. Lineage: Bacteria; Bacillati; Cyanobacteriota. The record is from RNAcentral.